GAGAUCGGUGUAUUUCUCCGGGAACACUUAGUUGCUGACACGGUUUACAGACAUUCAGCACCAACUCAAGCGCCUGCUUUUUUUCCCCAACAUGCACAAUUACACGUCUUCUAGCAGCACACAGGAGUGCACACAAGGGGUGCACACACAUUCAGUAAGCAGGAAAUGGUAGAAACCUCCAGAAGUAGCACUGACCACCGUUUGCAGGCUGGGGCUCUACGGCUAAGUAAACAUCGACGCACGAUUCGCUCGCACGGACUAAGAACUCCGCGGAGGACACUCGGGGACCACACCGGAGAAAGCAGAUUGGUUAACCUUGUGGCCACGAAGCAUGCUGAUGAGAAAUAAAAACAUGAAGAUACAUACUUCCUAGAGGACUGCCAAGUAUCUAGAGAACAUGUAUCACUGGUCACCCAGGGGACAAGAAGCUACAUGGAUUGGCAAAAAUUCUCACCACUACUAUAAGUAGUUCUGGAGGCUGGGAAAUCCAAGAUCAUGACACCAACAGAUUUGGUAUCUGGCAAGAACCCAUUCCUCAGAAGGCCAUCUUUUCUCUGUAAUCUCACAUUGCAGAAGGGGCUUGUGAUAAAAUGUUCCCUACUGAUGAAAAAGAAGAAAAAGUGCUGUGAAUUGAAGAGCUGAGCUCUCUCUGUCAAGGGACUAAUGAUUCUUGCGUUAAAAUGUAAAUGGGGCAGUCUUGAGUGCUUUAAAAUUUGUGAGGAAAGACUGGAAUUGUCAUUAUGGUGUCAUUACUGUGGCUCCCCACAGGAGUGAUUAUAAAGAUGGGGGUGGGGGUGGGAGUAUGAACUGAACCUCAAAGUGCCAGGAGGCUUCCUGCAGAGUUGAGCCCCAUCAGGAGUCUGCCAGGACCAUGAGGAUUGGGGGAUUCUGAAGAAAGCAAGUAAAGAAGACCAAGGGAAUACAUUCCAGAAGGUCAGCCUGGAGAGACAGAGAAGACUGGGAUAGAGGCCCAUGGCCACCGGCCGCAUAGGUAUGGAUGGGAGUGAAAAGACUAUGCUUUAGGGGACAACCAAACUGGAUCAGUCUAGGGCUCAAUCUGAGAAGGAUUUUAUUCUUCCAGAAGCAGAAAAGGGCUCAAAGGCAGUAAAUUGUCCUUGGACUGGGAAGUAAAAAUGUAAUGAACCAAAGUAGAGGUCCAUGCCCUUCUGAAACUAUGAAACUCCUCCCCUCUCCCCCUCAAAACAAAACAAAAGAAAAAGCACAACAACAAGUCACUGACAUAGAAAUGAAAUGAUAAAACUUAAGUAGGGAGUUCUUAUGAUCUGAAAGAAAAGUGUCAACUAGACUACCUGAAAGCAUUUAUUGUUUCAGAUUUGUGCUAAGAGAUUUGAUUAACUCACGAUUAUAUUUGUGAUCUGCCCCUCCACCCCCUGCAACUCUGCUGUUUAUUCCUAAAUUCCUUUACACUGAAGUAAAAUUUA
This is a long non-coding RNA of Canis lupus familiaris (dog), 1442 nucleotides long. RefSeq lists it as uncharacterized. The transcript is spliced from 4 exons. NCBI's taxonomy places the organism in Eukaryota, Metazoa, Chordata, Mammalia, Carnivora, Canidae. The record is from RefSeq and is a predicted model, not a curated record.